UAGAGUUUGAUCCUGGCUCAGAUUGAACCCUGGCGGUAUGCUUAACACAUGCAAGUCGAACGGAAACGAUGGUAGCUUGCUACCAGGCGUCAAGUGGCGGACGGGGGAGUAACGCGUAGGAAUCUGCCCAAUGGCGGGGGAUAGCCCGGAGAAAUUCGGAUUAAUACCGCAUAAUCUCUACGGAGAAAAGGAGGCCUCUUCUUGAAAGCUUUCGCUAUUGGAUGAGCCUGCGUGAGAUUAGCUAGUUGGUGAGGUAAAGGCUCACCAAGGCGACGAUCUCUAGCUGGUCUGAGAGGACGAUCAGCCACACUGGGACUGAGACACGGCCCAGACUCCUACGGGAGGCAGCAGUGGGGAAUAUUGGACAACGGAGGAAACUCUGAACCAGCCAUCCCGCGUGCAGGAUGACGCAUUUCGGUGUGUAAACUCCUUUUAUGAGUCAGAGUCUUGACGUAACCUAAAGAAGAAGCACCGGCUAACUCCGUGCCAGCAGCCGCGGUAAUACGGAGGGUGCGAGCGUUAUCCGGAUUCAUUGGGUUUAAAGGGUGCGCAGGCGGACUUUUUAGUCAGUGGUGAAAUCCCGGGGCUCAACCCCGGAACUGCCAUUGAUACUGGAAGUCUUGAGUUUGGUUGAAGUGGGCGGAAUGUAGCAUGUAGCGGUGAAAUGCUUAGAUAUGCUACAGAACACCGAUCGCGAAGGCAGCUCACUAAACCAACACUGACGCUCAGGCACGAAAGCGUGGGGAGCGAACAGGAUUAGAUACCCUGGUAGUCCACGCCGUAAACUAUGAUCACUCGUUGUUGGCGAUACACUGUCAGUGACUAAGCGAAAGCGAUAAGUGAUCCACCUGGGGAGUUACGCUCGCAAGAGUGAAACUCAAAGGAAUUGACGGGGGCCCGCACAAGAGGAGGAGCAUGUGGUUUAAUUCGAUGAUACGCGAGGAACCUUACCUGGGCUCAAAUGUAAGAUGACAACCCCUGAAAGGGGGCUUUCUUCGGACAUUUUGCAAGGUGCUGCAUGGUUGUCGUCAGCUCGUGCCGUGAGGUGUCGGGUUAAGUCCCAUAACGAGCGCAACCCCUACUCUUAGUUGCCAGCAUGUUAUGAUGGGGACUCUAAGAGAACUGCCUACGCAAGUAGAGAGGAAGGUGGGGAUGACGUCAAAUCAGCACGGCCCUUACGUCCAGGGCUACACACGUGCUACAAUGGCCGGUACAGAGGGCAGCCACCACGCGAGUGGGAGCAAAUCUCCAAAGCCGGUCUCAGUUCGGAUCGAAGUCUGCAACCCGACUUCGUGAAGCUGGAAUCGCUAGUAAUCGCGCAUCAGCCAUGGCGCGGUGAAUACGUUCCCGGGCCUUGUACACACCGCCCGUCAAGCCAUGGAAGCUGGGGGUACCUGAAGUCGGUAACCGUAAAGGAGCCGCCUAGGGUAAAACUAGUAACUAGGGCUAAGUCGUAACAAGGUAACCA
RNAcentral lists this ribosomal RNA (1468 nucleotides) under uncultured prokaryote. RNAcentral describes it as "partial 16S ribosomal RNA". It matches the Rfam family "Bacterial small subunit ribosomal RNA". The record is from RNAcentral.